RNAcentral lists this long non-coding RNA (157 nucleotides) under Suricata suricatta (meerkat). RNAcentral's name for it is "lncRNA (ENSSSUG00005006760.1)". The record is from RNAcentral. Lineage: Eukaryota; Metazoa; Chordata; Mammalia; Carnivora; Herpestidae.
CUCCAUGACAACAAGCAUGGAAGGGUUUAUUUGUCAUGGUUUUGUACUUCAUGGUCUAAAUGUCUCUCAUUUUUCUAUUUCCCGGUAAACAAGAUAUUAAGAUGAUGUUUUCCCUCUGAGGCCAAGAGGUGACUCCAGCAAGAAUUCUGAAGAGCCA